GGCUUAGAGUUUGAUCAUGGCUCAGGACGAACGCUGGCGGCAUGCUUAACACAUGCAAGUCGAACAGACUGAUUCCUUCGGGAUGAAAGUUAGUGGCGAACGGGUGAGUAAUGUAUGAGCAACCUGCCUCUGUCAACGGGAUAACACUUAGAAAUAGGUGCUAAUACGGUAUAAGACCACGGCAUCGCAUGAUGCUGCGGUAAAAGAUUUUAUCGGACAGAGAUGGGCUCAUAUCCCAUUAGCUAGUUGGUGAGAUAACAGCCCACCAAGGCGACGAUGGGUAGCCGAGCUGAGAGGCUGAUCGGCCACAUUGGGACUGAAACACGGCCCAGACUCCUACGGGAGGCAGCAGUGGGGAAUAUUGGGCAAUGGAGGCAACUCUGACCCAGCAAUGCCGCGUGAGUGAUGAAGGUCUUUUGAUUGUAAAGCUCUUUUCUUGGGAACGAAGAUCUGACGGUACCCAAGGAAUAAGCCCCGGCUAACUACGUGCCAGCAGCCGCGGUAAUACGUAGGGGGCAAGCGUUGUCCGGAAUGACUGGGCGUAAAGGGUGUGUAGGCGGUUAGGUAAGUUAGAUGUGUAAUACCCAGGGCUUAACUCGGGUGCUGCAUCUAAAACUGCCUGACUUGAGUGCUGGAGAGGAUAGUG
Molecule: ribosomal RNA, 646 nt
Filed under: uncultured organism
Description: bacterial SSU rRNA
Rfam family: Bacterial small subunit ribosomal RNA
Source: RNAcentral